GUCCAGACUCCUACGGGAGGCAGCAGUGGGGAAUAUUGCACAAUGGGGGAAACCCUGAUGCAGCGACGCCGCGUGAGCGAUGAAGUAUUUCGGUAUGUAAAGCUCUAUCAGCAGGGAAGAAGAUGACGGUACCUGACUAAGAAGCCCCGGCUAACUACGUGCCAGCAGCCGCGGUAAUACGUAGGGGGCAAGCGUUAUCCGGAUUUACUGGGUGUAAAGGGAGCGUAGACGGCGAUGCAAGCCAGAUGUGAAAGCCCGGGGCUCAACCCCGGGACUGCAUUUGGAACUGUGUGGCUGGAGUGUCGGAGAGGCAGGCGGAAUUCCUAGUGUAGCGGUGAAAUGCGUAGAUAUUAGGAGGAACACCAGUGGCGAAGGCGGCCUGCUGGACGAUGACUGACGUUGAGGCUCGAAAGCGUGGGGAGCAAACAGGAUUAGAUACCCGAGUACA
Molecule: ribosomal RNA, 448 nt
Filed under: uncultured bacterium
Lineage: Bacteria
Description: bacterial SSU rRNA
Rfam family: Bacterial small subunit ribosomal RNA
Source: RNAcentral